UCAGCCACCCCGGGACUNGAACCCGGCCCAGACUCCCACGGGGGGCAGCCGGGGGGAAUUUUCCGCAAAGGGCGAAAACCUGACGGGNCAAUACCCCGUGAGGGAGGAAGGCUCUNGGGUUGUAAACCUCUUUUCCUAGGGAAUAAAUUCUGAAGGUACCUGAGGAAUAAGCAUCGGCUAACUCCGUGCCAGCAGCCGCGGUAAUACGGAGGAUGCAAGCGUUAUCCGGAAUGAUUGGGCGUAAAGCGUCCGCAGGUGGCAUUGUGUGUCUGCUGUUAAAGAGUGAGGCUUAACCUCAUAAAAGCAGUGGAAACUACAAAGCCUAGAGUGCGUUCGGGGCAGAAGGAAUUCCUGGUGUAGCGGUGAAAUGCGUAGAGAUCAGGAAGAACACCGGUGGCGAAGGCGUUCUGCUAGGCCGCAACUGACACUGAUUAC
Molecule: ribosomal RNA, 435 nt
Filed under: Nostoc sp. MBDU013
Lineage: Bacteria; Bacillati; Cyanobacteriota; Cyanophyceae; Nostocales; Nostocaceae
Description: bacterial SSU rRNA
Rfam family: Bacterial small subunit ribosomal RNA
Source: RNAcentral